GCCCAAAAUCAAGCCUAUAACCCACCUAAUGUAUUAAUACACAUAUUAACCUUAAGACAAAACAUUUUUACAUUCUAGUAGAGGCGAUCAAAAAACUUAUAAGCGCUUCAUAUGAAGUACCGCAAGGGAAUGAUGAAAUAGAUUUGAAAUAGACCUAAGCA
Molecule: ribosomal RNA, 161 nt
Filed under: Nanorana yunnanensis (Yunan spiny frog)
Lineage: Eukaryota; Metazoa; Chordata; Amphibia; Anura; Dicroglossidae
Description: partial 16S ribosomal RNA
Source: RNAcentral